GACGAACGCUGGCGGCGUGCUUAACACAUGCAAGCCGAACGAUGAAGCAGAGAAACGCGCACUUCGGUUCAAAUUUCACUUCGGAUUAGUGGCAGACGGGUGAGUAACGCGUGAGCAACCUACCUCUUACAAAGGGAUAGCCUCGGGAAACCGUGAUUAAUACCAUAUGACACAUUCAUAAGGCAUCUUAAGAAUGUUAAAGCUACGGCGGUAAGAGAUGGGCUCGCGUCCCAUUAGCUAGUUGGUGAGGUAACGGCCCACCAAGGCGACGAUGGGUAACCGGCCUGAGAGGGUGAACGGUCACAUUGGAACUGAGACACGGUCCAAACUCCUACGGGAGGCAGCAGUGGGGAAUAUUGCACAAUGGAGGGAACUCUGAUGCAGCGACGCCGCGUGAGCGAUGAAGGAAUUCGUUUCGUAAAGCUCUGUUCUAUGGGAAGAAAAGGACUGUACCAUAGGAGAAAGCCCCGGCUAAAUACGUG
RNAcentral lists this ribosomal RNA (482 nucleotides) under uncultured bacterium. RNAcentral describes it as "partial 16S ribosomal RNA". It matches the Rfam family "Bacterial small subunit ribosomal RNA", at positions 28 to 507 of the family's 1533-position model. The record is from RNAcentral.